GAUGAACGCUGGCGGCGUGCCUAAUACAUGCAAGUCGAGCGAACAGACGAGGAGCUUGCUCCUCUGACGUUAGCGGCGGACGGGUGAGUAACACGUGGAUAACCUACCUAUAAGACUGGGAUAAUUUCGGGAAACCGGAGCUAAUACCGGAUAAUAUAUUGAACCGCAUGGUUCAAUAGUGAAAGACGGUUUUGCUGUCACUUAUAGAUGGAUCCGCGCCGCAUUAGCUAGUUGGUAAGGUAACGGCUUACCAAGGCAACGAUGCGUAGCCGACCUGAGAGGGUGGUCGGGCACACUGGAUCUGAGACACGGUCCAGACUCCGGCGGGGAGACGCAGUAGGGAAUCUUACGCGAGGGGGGAGAGCCUGACGGAGCGACACCGCGUGAGUGAUGAAGGUGUUAGGAUCGUAGAACUCUGUUAGUAGGAGAAAAGAAAUAUGUUAGUAACGGUGAACGUAUUGACGGUACCUGAUCAGGAAGCCACGGCUAACUACGUG
RNAcentral lists this ribosomal RNA (497 nucleotides) under uncultured bacterium. Its description in RNAcentral is "partial 16S ribosomal RNA". It matches the Rfam family "Bacterial small subunit ribosomal RNA", at positions 28 to 507 of the family's 1533-position model. The record is from RNAcentral.